AAUAUAGGACCGGCUGGGAUAAUCUGAGAUAGCGGAGGGAGAUUAGCGCGCCACGCCGCAAAGGUUAUCUCAUUCACGCAGGAUUAUCAGAAAUAAAUCAUAUUUUCCUAUAAAGCGAGCACAGUACGCGGUCGAGAUAAGAUGACCGCGCGGUUAGGUAUACAACAUCGAUACCGGUCGUGUGUACACAUUGCAGGUAAUGCGUGUUUGUUGUCGUUGAGCAUCAACGAUAUCGCCGUUUGUCCGCGCGACGCUUAUCCUGUGUGUCUCUUUCGCAGCUAUCGUUCGGUCGUAAAUCUAUAAACGGUAAAUCCUAUAGCGUGAUUUCCAGAGGAAAAUCGUCGACAAUUUGCCAAGGGGUCCACCUGCGAGGCAACGCGAGGAGAAUCCUGUUUACGUGUAUAGGUGGCUGAUUCUUGAAUCUACACUCGAAGAAGAUUCAUAGUCGUUCCAAUAAAGUAGUGAUAUAGCACUACUUCGAAAUGAAAGGCUACAUUUAUAAUUUUUGUGGAAACAAAAGGAGUUGCUGUAAUAAACUAAUGAGAAACAAUAUUUGUGAUAUUUCAAUCUCUGCAAUCAUUUUUACUACGUAUAGAUAAAGAAGAAAUGGCUACCAUCUUUGAACAAUCGUAUGUUUAUUUAUCAAGGAGAAAUCACAAUUGAUAUAUAUACAUUUCAAGAAUUCAAUAUUUGCAUGGCAAUAACGAAUUGCGAAGCAGAAAAUCUAUGAAAAAGUUCACCAUCGAUAAGUUAAGAUAGUAGAAUUUUUAUAUCACUAGUGAUCGGUAAAUUUCAAAAGUAGAUAAUUUUAGCUAAACUGAAGUGCAAAUUAAAUGUUACAGAAACAAUGAUAAGGUUUUGACAUUUCGAUUUUGGCAAGGGCUCUUUCGAAAAACAUUCAUCCAGCAUCUUACAAGGAACGAAAACUCAUUUGAGUUAUGAAGGACGAAAACAA
Molecule: long non-coding RNA, 955 nt
Organism: Hylaeus anthracinus
Lineage: Eukaryota; Metazoa; Arthropoda; Insecta; Hymenoptera; Colletidae
Exons: 3
Source: RefSeq, a predicted model, not a curated record